UGAGGAACAUGACCUUCGGCGGGGGAUAGCCGGCCCAACGGCCGGGUAAUACCGCGUACGACCACAUGGGGACAUCCCUGAGUGGUGAAAGCAGCAAUGCGCCGAUGGAGUGCCUCGCGGCCUAUCAGCUAGUUUGGUGGGGUAAUGGCUCACCAAGGCGACGACGGGUAGCUGGUCUGAGAGGAUGGCCAGCCACAUUGGGACUGAGACACGGCCCAGACCUCUACGGGGAGG
RNAcentral lists this ribosomal RNA (234 nucleotides) under uncultured bacterium. Its description in RNAcentral is "partial 16S ribosomal RNA". It matches the Rfam family "Bacterial small subunit ribosomal RNA", at positions 118 to 348 of the family's 1533-position model. The record is from RNAcentral.